GAUACGCAGGAUAUAUUUAGGUGCGCA
RNAcentral lists this small RNA (27 nucleotides) under Bombyx mori (domestic silkworm). Its description in RNAcentral is "ovarian small RNA-16069". Lineage: Eukaryota; Metazoa; Arthropoda; Insecta; Lepidoptera; Bombycidae. The record is from RNAcentral.